RNAcentral lists this long non-coding RNA (548 nucleotides) under Daucus carota (carrot). Its description in RNAcentral is "long non-coding RNA (DCAR_LNC002274)". The record is from RNAcentral. Lineage: Eukaryota; Viridiplantae; Streptophyta; Magnoliopsida; Apiales; Apiaceae.
UGGAAUCAAACUGAUUCAGUCAACUGAAGGAAUAACCUUGACUCAAUCUCAUUAUAUAGAGAAAUCUAUACUUGAGAAAUAUGGCUAUUCACAGUGUAGAAUCGCUAGUACACCCUAUGAUUCUAAAGUUGCCCUUGUCAAGAAUACUUCUGGAGUUCCUGUGUUUCAGUUAAGAUAUUCUCAGAUUAUUGGAAGCUUGCAGUAUCUUGCUAACUGUACUAGACCAGAUAUCUCAUAUUCUGUGUCUAAGUUGGCUAGAUAUACAAGCUGUCCAAACAGAACUCAUUGGGAUGCUCUUGAUAGAGUACUUAGAUAUCUGAAAGGCACAAUGUACCUUAGUUUACACUACAGGAGAUUUGGGAUGCUCUUGAUAGAGUACUUAGAUAUCUGAAAGGCACAUUGUACCUUAGUUUACACUAUAGGAGAUUUCCUGGUGUACUUGAAGGGUACAGUGAUGCAAGUUGGAUAGCUAAGAAGUCUGGUUCCAAUGGAGUGACUGGAUAUGUGUUUACCCUUGCGGGUGGAGCAGUAUCCUGGAAGUCGACUAG